AUUGAACGCUGGCGGCAUGCCUAACACAUGCAAGUCGAACGGCAGCAUGAGAGAGCUUGCUCUCUUGAUGGCGAGUGGCGGACGGGUGAGUAAUGCAUCGGGACCUGCCCAGACGUGGGGGAUAACGUAGGGAAACUUACGCUAAUACCGCAUACGUCCUACGGGAGAAAGCGGGGGAUCUUCGGACCUCGCGCGGUUGGAUGGACCGAUGUUCGAUUAGCUAGUUGGUGAGGUAAUGGCUCACCAAGGCGACGAUCGAUAGCUGGUCUGAGAGGAUGAUCAGCCACACUGGGACUGAGACACGGCCCAGACUCCUACGGGAGGCAGCAGUGGGGAAUAUUGGACAAUGGGCGCAAGCCUGAUCCAGCAAUGCCGCGUGUGUGAAGAAGG
Molecule: ribosomal RNA, 390 nt
Filed under: uncultured bacterium
Lineage: Bacteria
Description: bacterial SSU rRNA
Rfam family: Bacterial small subunit ribosomal RNA
Source: RNAcentral